CCUACGGGUGGCUGCAGUGGGGAAUCUUGCGCAAUGGGCGAAAGCCUGACGCAGCGACGCCGCGUGGGGGAGGAAGGCCUUCGGGUUGUAAACCCCUGUUGCCCGGGACGAAUGCCCCUUCUUGGGGAGUGACGGUACCGGGUGAGGAAGCACCGGCUAACUCCGUGCCAGCAGCCGCGGUAAUACGGAGGGUGCAAGCGUUGUCCGGAAUCACUGGGCGUAAAGGGCGCGUAGGUGGUUGCUUAAGCGUGUGGUGAAAGCUCAGGGCUCAACCC
Molecule: ribosomal RNA, 275 nt
Filed under: uncultured Gemmatimonas sp.
Lineage: Bacteria; Pseudomonadati; Gemmatimonadota; Gemmatimonadia; Gemmatimonadales; Gemmatimonadaceae
Description: partial 16S ribosomal RNA
Rfam family: Bacterial small subunit ribosomal RNA
Source: RNAcentral